AUACGGAGGGUCCAAGCGUUAUCCGGAUUCAUUGGGUUUAAAGGGUCCGCAGGCGGGAAAAUAAGUCAGUGGUGAAAGCCUACAGCUCAACUGUAGAACUGCCAUUGAUACUGUUUUUCUUGAGUAUAGAUGAAGUGGGCGGAAUAUAUCAUGUAGCGGUGAAAUGCAUAGAUAUGAUAUAGAACACCGAUUGCGAAGGCAGCUCACUAAACUAUUACUGACGCUCAGGGACGAUAGCGUGGGGAGCGAACAGGAUUAGAAACCCUAGUAGUCC
RNAcentral lists this ribosomal RNA (274 nucleotides) under uncultured bacterium. RNAcentral's name for it is "partial 16S ribosomal RNA". It matches the Rfam family "Bacterial small subunit ribosomal RNA", at positions 523 to 796 of the family's 1533-position model. The record is from RNAcentral.